UGUUGUUUUUGUGCUUUUCAAAUUCCAAGGAUAUCCCUCAUUAAAUUAUAUUAUUUACGUUGUUUUUGUGCUUUCCACAUUUCAAGGUUAUCCCUCAUCAUUUAUGUUGUUAUUGAAGGAUAUCCCUCAUUAAAUUAUAUUAUUUAAGGUUGUCACAGAGGAACAUUGUGCAUUGAAUUAGACUCACAAUAGCUUAGUGGUCAGUAGAAUCACUACUCUUCUUGGCAAAUGAUAUUUGAGAAAAGAAAAAAUCUCAUUGUUUUAGUGUGUAUAUAUAUAUGAACUCUUAACAAUAAGUAAAGUGUUAAGGAGAUAGGUUUUUUCAUAUGCACUUAUGUAGUAUGCUUUUGUUUGUGUGAAGAAGAAUCAUUAAGAGUUCAUAAUAACUGUAUUGAUUUAAAAUAAAAUUAUCCCUUUUAAACUAAAGAUUUUUAUUUGGCUUUUUCACUAUAAAUAGAGGAGAAACAAAUUUUGUGAAAUGCAGCUUUUAGAAUUAUAAUUGCUUUUGCUUGAUCCAAUAAGCUUGAAAAUAAAAACAUGGUGUUUUAAUUGUACUGUAUAUCCGUUCCUUCUACCCAGUAAGUUGGAAAUUUUUCAUUUCAAAUUUUACUGUUUUUUGCGGGAUUAAGUUUUUGUUGCAAACAUAUUUAUUUUGAUAUAAAUAUAUUUUUUUUUUAUUUUUGGAUUGAGGUCAUGUGUGAGUAUGAUAUUGUUAUCUUUCACUAUUGUUGACCUUUGCCCGAUGCUUGAUUUGGAUUUGUUUUUAGAUUGUGCUCUAUCUUUAUUGUUUAUUUGUUUAUUUGUUUUCAUUUUACUCUCAAAAUCUAUGUAAGAUAAGAAGGCAAACUAGGAUGUGAAGAAAAUAUACAUGAUUUCUUUUCACUCAUCAAUUUAACAUUUUUACUCUAGAAUAUAUUUGCUACAAAGGUCAUAAUUUCUUAUAUGAUUGUAGGCAUUAUUUUUCUUACAUAAUUUUUUAUGGUCAAAGAAAAUAUACAGAGAUAGUGAUCAAUGAUGAAUUGCUUUAUAUUAUGGCUGUUUCAAAGACAUCAUAGCCAGGCACAAUUUGCAGAAGUAUUGUAUGGUGAUUUGACAUGGUAUAAGAUUUUAAUCAUUACAUGGAUUAUUGCUGAUUUUAGAGGAUUAUUUGAUACAGUACAUACAAACUCUGGAGGGCAGGGAGAAAAAAUUAUCUGCCUGUAAGGAUCUUGGAGCUGAUGUUGCCAUCAAUUAUAAGACAGAGACUCUGUUGCACGAGUGAAGGAAGAAAUAGAAAAGAAAGGUUUUGAUGUCAUAUGGAUCAAAUUGUGGGAUUGUACCAUCAGCGAAACCUCGACAACUUAAACUUUGAUGGAAGGCUUUUCCUCAUUAGCUUAAUGGGUGGAGCUAUAGCAGAAGUAAAUAUAAACAGUAUGCUCAAUAGGCACCUCACAACUCAGCAAAUGGAUGGUGAAACAGCAGUGCAUAUCAGAGGUUGCCUUUGCCCGUGUGUGGUGGAAAAUAGUUACUCUUUCAAAUGAUGUCGCAAGGGAAUGCCACUGCUCUUAUUACUCCAUGAUAACUGAUACUCAUUUUAUUGUGCCUGCUGAUAAAUUUCAGUUUUUAGGGAAUUCUUCCAAGUUUAUUACAACUUAGGCACUCAUAUCAGUACCACUUGCACUUUUCACUAUGAAUGCGCAUUUUUAGUCCUUUUAUAUGAGAUCUUAUUUGAUGUU
Molecule: long non-coding RNA, 1715 nt
Organism: Arachis stenosperma
Lineage: Eukaryota; Viridiplantae; Streptophyta; Magnoliopsida; Fabales; Fabaceae
Exons: 4
Source: RefSeq, a predicted model, not a curated record